GCCUUCGUGGUGUAAUGGUCAGCGUAUUCGGCGGGUAUUCGAGAGGUCCGAGGUUCGAGUCCCCGCGACGGCA
Non-coding RNA from Stegodyphus mimosarum, 73 nucleotides. The record is from Rfam. NCBI's taxonomy places the organism in Eukaryota, Metazoa, Arthropoda, Arachnida, Araneae, Eresidae.